This 296-nucleotide unclassified non-coding RNA is filed under the name uncultured Sebacina. RNAcentral describes it as "sequence contains 5.8S rRNA gene". Lineage: Eukaryota; Fungi; Basidiomycota; Agaricomycetes; Sebacinales; Sebacinaceae. The record is from RNAcentral.
GAACGCACCUUGCACCCUUUGGCAUUCCGAAGGGUAUGCUCGUUUGAGUGUCAUUGUACUCUCACACUCCCAAUGCUUUUGGAUUGGGAGCGGUGGACUUGGGUGUUGCUGCUUUACGGUGGCUCGCCUCAAAUGGAGUAGUGCAACUCUCGGUUGGACAUAGUACGGCGUGAUAAGUGUCUUCGCCGGCGCCUCACUAGAGGGUGGCUGAUCGGGAGCUCUGUGCUUCAAACCGUCUUCGGACAAUCUUUGACAUCUUGACCUCAAAUCAGGUAGGACUACCCGCUGAACUUAAG